RNAcentral lists this ribosomal RNA (850 nucleotides) under Bacillus sp. (in: firmicutes). RNAcentral describes it as "bacterial SSU rRNA". It matches the Rfam family "Bacterial small subunit ribosomal RNA", at positions 52 to 882 of the family's 1533-position model. The record is from RNAcentral. Lineage: Bacteria; Bacillati; Bacillota; Bacilli; Caryophanales; Bacillaceae.
UACAUGCAAGUCGAGCGGACAGAUGGGAGCUUGCUCCCUGAUGUUAGCGGCGGACGGGUGAGUAACACGUGGGUAACCUGCCUGUAAGACUGGGAUAACUCCGGGAAACCGGGGCUAAUACCGGAUGGUUGUUUGAACCGCAUGGUUCAGACAUAAAAGGUGGCUUCGGCUACCACUUACAGAUGGACCCGCGGCGCAUUAGCUAGUUGGUGAGGUAACGGCUCACCAAGGCGACGAUGCGUAGCCGACCUGAGAGGGUGAUCGGCCACACUGGGACUGAGACACGGCCCAGACUCCUACGGGAGGCAGCAGUAGGGAAUCUUCCGCAAUGGACGAAAGUCUGACGGAGCAACGCCGCGUGAGUGAUGAAGGUUUUCGGAUCGUAAAGCUCUGUUGUUAGGGAAGAACAAGUGCCGUUCAAAUAGGGCGGCACCUUGACGGUACCUAACCAGAAAGCCACGGCUAACUACGUGCCAGCAGCCGCGGUAAUACGUAGGUGGCAAGCGUUGUCCGGAAUUAUUGGGCGUAAAGGGCUCGCAGGCGGUUUCUUAAGUCUGAUGUGAAAGCCCCCGGCUCAACCGGGGAGGGUCAUUGGAAACUGGGGAACUUGAGUGCAGAAGAGGAGAGUGGAAUUCCACGUGUAGCGGUGAAAUGCGUAGAGAUGUGGAGGAACACCAGUGGCGAAGGCGACUCUCUGGUCUGUAACUGACGCUGAGGAGCGAAAGCGUGGGGAGCGAACAGGAUUAGAUACCCUGGUAGUCCACGCCGUAAACGAUGAGUGCUAAGUGUUAGGGGGUUUCCGCCCCUUAGUGCUGCAGCUAACGCAUUAAAGCACUCCGCCUGGGGAGUA